Molecule: ribosomal RNA, 320 nt
Filed under: uncultured eukaryote
Lineage: Eukaryota
Description: partial 18S ribosomal RNA
Rfam family: Eukaryotic small subunit ribosomal RNA
Source: RNAcentral
CCCUUAGAUGUUCUGGGCUGCACGCGCGCUACACUGACAUACUCAGCAAGUUUCCUUUCCCGAAAGGGUUGGGUAAUCUUGUUAGUGUAUGUCGCGAUGGGGAUAGAAUAUUGUAAUUAUUGCUCUUUAACGAGGAAUUCCUAGUAAGCGCAAGUCAACAGCUUGCGCUGAUUACGUCCCUGCCCUUUGUACACACCGCCCGUCGCUCCUACCGAUUGGGUGAUCCGGUGAAUGGUUCGGACUCUGGCUAUGCUAGCUACUAGCUACGUCAGGGAAAGUUCUGUGAACCUUAUCACUUGGAGGAAGGAGAANUCGUANCA